Apteryx rowi (Okarito brown kiwi) is the source of this 357-nucleotide long non-coding RNA. Lineage: Eukaryota; Metazoa; Chordata; Aves; Apterygiformes; Apterygidae. The record is from Ensembl.
AAACACCUUAUUUUUAAUUAUUUUACAGUUAAAGAGCCUUUAGUGUUCAGAAGGACAAUGUUCAAAGUCAUGGCUGGAUUAUGCAAUGAAACUGCUGAAACAUGUACAUGUUCUCCUAAAACUGAAUUUGGCGUGACCUUUCAGGCCUUCCAUGGACUUCAAUCUAUUGGACAUCUGACUCUUGGUUGUGAAGCAGGUUUAAGAACAAGAGUGCUGUGUAAUUACAUUUCAAUGGGGUGCAGCGGUUCAUUAUUCUCUGCUAUACCAAUCUACUGCAACAUUUCCAAAGCAGUCAGGCCUGAAAUAAUCUACUUACGCAUGAAUGCCCUUCCCUCUGAGGGAAGUAACAUUUUUAAG